This 404-nucleotide ribosomal RNA is filed under the name Fusobacteriota bacterium. RNAcentral describes it as "Fusobacteria bacterium partial 16S ribosomal RNA". It matches the Rfam family "Bacterial small subunit ribosomal RNA", at positions 355 to 776 of the family's 1533-position model. The record is from RNAcentral. Lineage: Bacteria; Fusobacteriati; Fusobacteriota.
UGGGGAAUUUUGCACAAUGGAGGGAACUCUCAUGCAGCGACGUCGCGUGAGUGAUGAAGGAAUUCGUUUCGUAUAACUCUGUUCUAUGGGAAGAAAAGUACUGUACCAUAGGAGAAAGCUCCGGCUAAAUACGUGCCAGCAGCCGCGGUAAUACGUAUGGAGCGAGCGUUGUCCGGAAUUAUUGGGCGUAAAGGGUGUGCAGGCGGCUUUACAAGUUGGAUGUGAAAUAUUGUGGCUCAACCACAAACGUGCAUCCAAAACUGCGAAGCUUGAGUUAAGGCGAGGUAAGUGGAAUUCCUGGUGUCGCGGUGGAAUGCGUAGAUAUCAGGAGGAAUACCGGUGGCGAAGGCGGCUUACUGGACUUAAACUGGCGCUCAGGCACGAAAGCGUGGGGAGCAAACAGG